UACGGAGGGUGCGAGCGUUGUCCGGAAUCACUGGGCGUAAAGGGCGCGUAGGCGGCCUGAUAAGUAGGGGGUGAAAUCCUGCGGCUUAACCGCAGGGCUGCCUUCUAAACUGUCAGGCUCGAGCACAGUAGAGGCAGGUGGAAUUCCCGGUGUAGCGGUGGAAUGCGUAGAGAUCGGGAAGAACAUCAGUGGCGAAGGCGGCCUGCUGGGCUGUUGCUGGACACUGAGGCGCGACAGCGUGGGGAGCGAACAGG
RNAcentral lists this ribosomal RNA (254 nucleotides) under uncultured bacterium. RNAcentral describes it as "partial 16S ribosomal RNA". It matches the Rfam family "Bacterial small subunit ribosomal RNA", at positions 524 to 776 of the family's 1533-position model. The record is from RNAcentral.